CUGACCCAACACGUGCGACUGUUCAAUAUGAAGAGAAUUUAGAAAAGCGGUCUUAGAUAACGAUGAUUAAAGUAAGCAAUAUGCCGAUUUUAAUCAUUGUGUUGUACAAUCGCUUCGGCCUUCUAUUUGCCGGAUUCUUACGCGGGCGGGAGUCCACGCCUACAGCGACCACCUUUCUCAGCUUCUGCAUUUCAACGAAACGCUCAUCUUUUAUUAAUUGGACGUCAUACCGCUCUACUUCGCCACCUAUCUACCUCAAACGGCACACCCCUCCCGCCUACCUAAAAACCGCCUUAUUCUAUUUGUCUGCUUGUACAAUAAGCCUCUCAACUGUUGCAACGUGCACUGCCUUUUAUGCACGUACAUGGUAAUGUUAUAUACAAGUUUAGGUUUCAGUAACGUCGGCCGAAGACUGGUCGGUCAGGAUCCGGCCAAUGGCCGACCUGAUCUAUAUGCGUCCCGGAAAUAGCAGUCAAGACUACA
Long non-coding RNA from Varroa destructor (honeybee mite), 483 nucleotides. Lineage: Eukaryota; Metazoa; Arthropoda; Arachnida; Mesostigmata; Varroidae. The record is from RefSeq and is a predicted model, not a curated record.